GAUGAACGCUGGCGGCGUGCCUAAUACAUGCAAGUCGAGCGAACAGACCAGGAGCUUGCUCCUCGGACGUUUGCGGCAGGCGGGUGAGUAACACGUGUAUAACCUACCUAUAAGACUGGGAUAACUUCGGGAAACCGGAUCUAAUACCGUAUAACAUGUUGAACCGCAGGGGUCGACAGUGAAAGACGGUCUUUCUGUCACUUAUAGAUGGAUCCGCGCCGCAUUAGCUAGUUGGUAAGGUAACGGCUUACCAAGGCAACGAUGCGUAGCCGAACUGAGAGAGUGAUCGGCGACACUGGAACUUGGACACGGUCAAGACUACUACGGGAGGCAGCAGUAGGGUACCUGCGGCAACGGGCGAAAGCCUUACGGAGCAACGCCGAGUGAGUUAAGACAGUGUUCGGAUCGUAAAACUCUGUUAUUAGGUAAGAACAAAUGUGUAAGUAACUAUGCACGUCUUGACGGUAACUAAUCAGAAAGCCACGGCUAACUACGUG
RNAcentral lists this ribosomal RNA (497 nucleotides) under uncultured bacterium. RNAcentral describes it as "partial 16S ribosomal RNA". It matches the Rfam family "Bacterial small subunit ribosomal RNA", at positions 28 to 507 of the family's 1533-position model. The record is from RNAcentral.